RNAcentral lists this unclassified non-coding RNA (347 nucleotides) under soil metagenome. RNAcentral describes it as "partial contains 5.8S ribosomal RNA, internal transcribed spacer 2, and large subunit ribosomal RNA". The stretch from base 1 to 120 matches the Rfam family "5.8S ribosomal RNA", at positions 35 to 154 of the family's 154-position model. The record is from RNAcentral.
GAUGAAGAACGUAGCGAAAUGCGAUACGUAAUGUGAAUUGCAGAAUUCAGUGAAUCAUCGAAUCUUUGAACGCACAUUGCGCCCGCUGGUAUUCCGGCGGGCAUGCCUGUUCGAGCGUCAUUUCAACCCUCAAGCCCCCCGGGUUUGGUGUUGGGGAUCGGCUCUGCCUCACGGCGGUGCCGCCCCCGAAAUACAUUGGCGGUCUCGCUGCAGCCUCCAUUGCGUAGUAGCUAACACCUCGCAACUGGAACGCGGCGCGGCCAUGCCGUAAAACCCCAACUUCUGAAUGUUGACCUCGGAUCAGGUAGGAAUACCCGCUGAACUUAAGCAUAUCAAUAAGCGGAGGA